GACGAACGCUGGCGGCGUGCUUAACACAUGCAAGUCGAACGGUGAAGGGGUCUGCUUUUGUGGGCCCUGGAUGAGUGGCGAACGGGUGAGUAACACGUGAGUAACCUGCCCCCUUCUUCUGGAUAACCGCAUGAAAGUGUGGCUAAUACGGGAUAUUCUGGGUCUGUCGCAUGAUGGGUCUGGGAAAGAUUGCGCCUUUGGGUGUUUUUGGUGGGGGAUGGGCUCGCGGCCUAUCAGCUUGUUGGUGGGGUGACGGCCUACCAAGGCGGUGACGGGUAGCCGGCCUGAGGGGGUGGACGGUCACACUGGGACUGAGACACGGCCCAGACUCCUACGGGAGGCAGCAGUGGGGAAUAUUGCACAAUGGGCGCAAGCCUGAUGCAGCGACGCCGCGUGAGGGAUGGAGGCCUUCGGGUUGUAAACCUCUUUCGCCAGUGAAGCAGGCCUGCUCCUUGUGGGUGGGUUGACGGUAGCUGGAUAAGAAGCGCCGGCUAACUACGUG
RNAcentral lists this ribosomal RNA (502 nucleotides) under uncultured bacterium. RNAcentral describes it as "partial 16S ribosomal RNA". It matches the Rfam family "Bacterial small subunit ribosomal RNA", at positions 28 to 507 of the family's 1533-position model. The record is from RNAcentral.